Molecule: ribosomal RNA, 301 nt
Filed under: uncultured bacterium
Lineage: Bacteria
Description: partial 16S ribosomal RNA
Rfam family: Bacterial small subunit ribosomal RNA
Source: RNAcentral
CAGUCGCCACGGGAAUACGUAGGGUGCAAGCGUUAAUCGGAAUUACUGGGCGUAAAGCGUGCGCAGGCGGUUUGUUAAGACAGAUGUGAAAUCCCCGGGCUCAACCUGGGAACUGCAUUUGUGACUGGCGAGCUAGAGUGUGGCAGAGGGGGGUGGAAUUCUGCGUGUAGCAGUGAAAUGCGAAGAUAUGCGGAGGAACACCGAUGGCGAAGGUAGCCCCCUGGGCCAACACUGACGCUCAUGCACGAAAGCGUGGGGAGCAAACAGGAUUAGAUACCCGGGUAGUCCCUGUCUCUUAUAC